GGAUGUGAAGAGACUUUCAACCAGCAUAACAAAAAAUGUUUCUGAAGACAAUCACCUAUUGCACCUUUAAAACAAGGUUUGUCUAUAUAUUCUUAAGGGAUUUGAACGAAUAGCCAAAUAGCUAUAUGGAAUCAAAUCAAAAAUCAAUUGAAUUAAUGUAGAACCUACUGUAUUGUCUAUGAAGCAAAAAAGCUCAAAUAAACUAGACAACAAGAUGAUCAACAUUUUUAUAUUUAUAUUUCUUUGUAGAUGGAUAUACAACAUUUUUUUUUCAUGUCACAUGGGAGUAGGUCUGCAAAUGAGCAGCAGUCAGAAAAGUCAGUGCAAAAAGAGAGUGAAGUCAAGGCAGAGCACAUUGAAGAAAGCACAGUAGAGAAAAGGCAAGAUCAUGAUCCAGGUAAGAAAGUGAACAGAGUUGGUUUGGAUAAAGUGUCUUGUAAGUUAAAAAAUCCAAAUGAUGUUAAUAUUUCUAAGUUACCUUUUACAUGAUUGUCACAGUACAGGGACAGAGAAAGCAUGAAGCAGAAGAAGACACGAGUCAGGAGAGAGAUGGAUACAUAUGCAGAGAAGCAAGUUUAAAGUUAUGUUCUUUCUUGUUUAAAUUGUUCUGUUUGUACUUGAGCAUAGAGGUUUGUGCUAAAUGCAAACAGUAAAAUGUUGUAUGUACAGUGAACAGGUGUGUGUGACUGAGUGUGUGCGAGUGAGAGAGAUCAGGAAGACUUGUAUUUGGCUUAUUCAGAACUCAAAAUGUUAUACCCAUUUAUGUAAUACAAUGGAAAACUGGAAUAAGUUUUAAUAUACCACCAUAUGUAAAUCAAGCUUUUUUAAAUUAUUAUUAUUAUUAUACCCUUAAUGGGGGCUGAGCACCCCUAAAAUGAAAAUCCUACAAUCACCCCUGGUUUGGUUAAUAUCAUUGCUGUUAAAAUAAGUUACAGACGCUUCGAGUCCACAUGAAGUUUGGUCAAAAUUAUAUGCAACGUGAAGCCAUUCUGUAGUAGAGUUUGUUCUACAUGCCACUAUUUCUCAUACUGUACUAGAGUCAGAGUUUAUUUAAAUAAUUCUUCAGUAGAGGGCACCAUGAUAUCAGCUUGUCAAACAGGCUUACUUAAGCACACUGAGCUUAGAAUAUCCAUUUAUCUCAAUUGUGUUUGCUUGGUUAGCACAGAUAAACAACAGUUUUUGAUACUAUCACUUGGGCUGUAUUAUCUGAUCAAUCACGUGAUGACGAUGCUAAUAGGCUGAUGGAGCCAAAAAAUGGGCACUGUAUCUUAUCUAGCAAAGAGCCUUGGCAUGAAAGGCACCAGACUGGUUCAUUUCAUACUUUUAAGAUCUAUCAAAACAAAAUUGGGCA
This 1351-nucleotide long non-coding RNA is filed under the name Sinocyclocheilus grahami. Its description in RNAcentral is "lncRNA (ENSSGRG00000011771.1)". Lineage: Eukaryota; Metazoa; Chordata; Actinopteri; Cypriniformes; Cyprinidae. The record is from RNAcentral.